RNAcentral lists this ribosomal RNA (520 nucleotides) under Bacillus atrophaeus. RNAcentral describes it as "bacterial SSU rRNA". It matches the Rfam family "Bacterial small subunit ribosomal RNA", at positions 405 to 917 of the family's 1533-position model. Lineage: Bacteria; Bacillati; Bacillota; Bacilli; Caryophanales; Bacillaceae. The record is from RNAcentral.
GUGAUGAAGGUUUUCGGAUCGUAAAGCUCUGUUGUUAGGGAAGAACAAGUGCCGUUCAAAUAGGGCGGCACCUUGACGGUACCUAACCAGAAAGCCUGGCUAACUACGUGCCAGCAGCCGCGGUAAUACGUAGGUGGCAAGCGUUGUCCGGAAUUAUUGGGCGUAAAGGGCUCGCAGGCGGUUUCUUAAGUCUGAUGUGAAAGCCCCCGGCUCAACCGGGGAGGGUCAUUGGAAACUGGGGAACUUGAGUGCAGAACGGAGAGUGGAAUUCCACGUGUAGCGGUGAAAUGCGUAGAGAUGUGGAGGAACACCAGUGGCGAAGGCGACUCUCUGGUCUGUAACUGACGCUGAGGAGCGAAAGCGUGGGGAGCGAACAGGAUUAGAUACCCUGGUAGUCCACGCCGUAAACGAUGAGUGCUAAGUGUUAGGGGGUUUCCGCCCCUUAGUGCUGCAGCUAACGCAUUAAGCACUCCGCCUGGGGAGUACGGUCGCAAGACUGAAACUCAAAUGAAUUGACGGA